This 719-nucleotide ribosomal RNA is filed under the name uncultured bacterium. Its description in RNAcentral is "bacterial SSU rRNA". It matches the Rfam family "Bacterial small subunit ribosomal RNA", at positions 104 to 810 of the family's 1533-position model. The record is from RNAcentral.
GGGUGAGUAACACGUGGGUAACCUGCCCAAGAGACUGGGAUAACACCUGGAAACAGAUGCUAAUACCGGAUAACAACACUAGACGCAUGUCUAGAGUUUGAAAGAUGGUUCUGCUAUCACUCUUGGAUGGACCUGCGGUGCAUUAGCUAGUUGGUAAGGUAACGGCUUACCAAGGCAAUGAUGCAUAGCCGAGUUGAGAGACUGAUCGGCCACAUUGGGACUGAGACACGGCCCAAACUCCUACGGGAGGCAGCAGUAGGGAAUCUUCCACAAUGGACGAAAGUCUGAUGGAGCAACGCCGCGUGAGUGAAGAAGGGUUUCGGCUCGUAAAGCUCUGUUGGUAGUGAAGAAAGAUAGAGGUAGUAACUGGCCUUUAUUUGACGGUAAUUACUUAGAAAGUCACGGCUAACUACGUGCCAGCAGCCGCGGUAAUACGUAGGUGGCAAGCGUUGUCCGGAUUUAUUGGGCGUAAAGCGAGUGCAGGCGGUUCAAUAAGUCUGAUGUGAAAGCCUUCGGCUCAACCGGAGAAUUGCAUCAGAAACUGUUGAACUUGAGUGCAGAAGAGGAGAGUGGAACUCCAUGUGUAGCGGUGGAAUGCGUAGAUAUAUGGAGGAACACCAGUGGCGAAGGCGGCUCUCUGGUCUGUAACUGACGCUGAGGCUCGAAAGCAUGGGUAGCGAACAGGAUUAGAUACCCUGGUAGUCCAUGCCGUAAACGAU